Molecule: ribosomal RNA, 253 nt
Filed under: uncultured bacterium
Lineage: Bacteria
Description: partial 16S ribosomal RNA
Rfam family: Bacterial small subunit ribosomal RNA
Source: RNAcentral
UACGUAGGGCGCAAGCGUUGUCCGGAAUUAUUGGGCGUAAAGAGCUCGUAGGCGGUCUGUCGCGUCCGUUGUGAAAACUCGAGGCUCAACCUCGGGCUUGCAGUGGAUACGGGCAGACUAGAGUGCGGUAGGGGAGACUGGAAUUCCUGGUGUAGCGGUGGAAUGCGCAGAUAUCAGGAGGAACACCGAUGGCGAAGGCAGGUCUCUGGGCCGCAACUGACGCUGGGGAGCGAAAGCAUGGGGAGCGAACAGG